CCUACGGGAGGCAGCAGUGAGGAAUAUUGGACAAUGGAUGGAAAUCUGAUCCAGCCAUGCCGCGUGCAGGAAGACGGCCCUAUGGGUUGUAAACUGCUUUUAUAUGGGAGCAAUAAGGUUUACGAGUAGACCGAUGAGAGUACCAUAUGAAUAAGCAUCGGCUAACUCCGUGCCAGCAGCCGCGGUAAUACGUAGGGAGCGAGCGUUGUCCGGAAUUACUGGGUGUAAAGGGAGCGUAGGCGGGAUUGCAAGUCAGAUGUGAAAUGCAGGGGCUCAACCCCUGAGCUGCAUUUGAAACUGUAGUUCUUGAGUGAAGUAGAGGUAAGCGGAAUUCCUGGUGUAGCGGUGAAAUGCGUAGAUAUCAGGAGGAACAUCGGUGGCGAAGGCGGCUUACUGGGCUUUUACUGACGCUGAGGCUCGAAAGCGUGGGGAGCAAACAGGAUUAGAUACCCUGGUAGUCCACGCUGUAAACGAUGAUUACUAGGUGUGGGGGGACUGACCCCUUCCGUGCCGCAGUUAACACAAUAAGUAUCCCACCUGGGGAGUACGACCGCAAGGUUGAAACUCAAAUGAAUUGACGGGGA
RNAcentral lists this ribosomal RNA (584 nucleotides) under uncultured bacterium. RNAcentral describes it as "bacterial SSU rRNA". It matches the Rfam family "Bacterial small subunit ribosomal RNA", at positions 338 to 919 of the family's 1533-position model. The record is from RNAcentral.